This 253-nucleotide ribosomal RNA is filed under the name uncultured bacterium. Its description in RNAcentral is "partial 16S ribosomal RNA". It matches the Rfam family "Bacterial small subunit ribosomal RNA", at positions 524 to 776 of the family's 1533-position model. The record is from RNAcentral.
GACGAACCGAGCGAACGUUGUUCGGAAUCACUGGGCUUAAAGGGCGCGUAGGCGGUCGCUCAAGUCCGGGGUGAAAUCCUCCAGCUCAACUGGAGAACUGCCUCGGAUACUGGGUGCCUCGAGUGUGGUAGGGGUGAGCGGAACUAUCGGUGGAGCGGUGAAAUGCGUUGAUAUCGAUAGGAACUCCGGUGGCGAAGGCGGCACACUGGACCACAACUGACGCUGAGGCGCGAAAGCCAGGGGAGCAAACGGG